Molecule: ribosomal RNA, 253 nt
Filed under: uncultured bacterium
Lineage: Bacteria
Description: partial 16S ribosomal RNA
Rfam family: Bacterial small subunit ribosomal RNA
Source: RNAcentral
UACGUAGGGAGCAAGCGUUGUCCGGAAUCAUUGGGCGUAAAGCGCGCGUAGGUGGUUUGUUAAGUUGGAUGUGAAAUCCCCGGGCUCAACCUGGGAACUGCAUUCAAAACUGACAAGCUAGAGUAUGGUAGAGGGUGGUGGAAUUUCCUGUGUAGCGGUGAAAUGCGUAGAUACUGGGAGGAACACCGGUGGCGAAGGCGGCUACCUGGACCGGUUCUGACGCUGAGGCGCGAAAGCGUGGGGAGCAAACAGG